AACGAACGCUGGCGGCAUGCCUAACACAUGCAAGUCGAACGAGACCUUCGGGUCUAGUGGCGCACGGGUGCGUAACGCGUGGGAACCUGCCCUUAGGUUCGGAAUAACUCCCCGAAAGGGGUGCUAAUACCGGAUAAUGUCUUCGGACCAAAGAUUUAUCGCCUUUGGAUGGGCCCGCGUUGGAUUAGCGAGUUGGUAGGGUAAAAGCCUACCAAUGCGACGAUCCAUAGCUGGUCUGAGAGGAUGAUCAGCCACACUGGGACUGAGACACGGCCCAGACUCCUACGGGAGGCAGCAGUGGGGAAUAUUGGACAAUGGGCGAAAGCCUGAUCCAGCAAUGCCGCGUGAGUGAUGAAGGCCUUAGGGUUGUAAAGCUCUUUUACCUGGGAUGAUAAUGACAGUACCGGGAGAAUAAGCUCCGGCUAACUCCGUG
This 433-nucleotide ribosomal RNA is filed under the name uncultured bacterium. Its description in RNAcentral is "partial 16S ribosomal RNA". It matches the Rfam family "Bacterial small subunit ribosomal RNA", at positions 29 to 507 of the family's 1533-position model. The record is from RNAcentral.